CCGAGUGCUCUCCGUCCUGUGAGCUCUCCAAAUGCCAGCUUGCUCAGCUGAUUCACUUUGACGCAGGCAGGUUCAUCAGAAAGCCUUGGAACAGACCCCAGUACUGGUCCAAGCCCUGAAGACUGCACCCAGGAAAGUGGAGGUAUGGACAGAGGCAGCCGGUGCCUGAGGAAGCUCCACGGGGCAGGCAAGGCCCCCACGUCCAGUCUCAGCCCCUCUUUUGGCCACAUGCCGGAGAAGGAAAUUUUGUGCCUUGAAUAAUGAAUCCCCCUGGAGCCCACGGUACCUGUACUUCUCUUUAGUGUCCACUGAGAAUAACGUGUUCGACAUUCAAGUGACAACACUGGAAAGCAUUUCAAAGCCCUGGAGCCCCAGAACGCUGUACACCCCGACGGCUCUUCUGCCUGCCCUCUCUUUGGCUUCCAAAUGCAGCAAGCUCUUUCUUUACUUAAAAUGUGUUCAUCUUUCACACGCAUCCUGGAUGUACCACAGAAAGACAGUACAGAUAGGCAGGCUCUUAUUUCUGAAGCUGAGCUGGUCCCGCCCAGCACAAAGCUUUAAAGCUGCUAAGGCUCCAGGAUAUUAUCCAGUUUUUAAAAAUGGAAAAACUGGGAACAGGGAGGCUCAAUAUCUUGUCCCAGGCCCAAACAGGCUUUUCUGGAGUCAGUAUCAUUCAACUGGCUCAGGCUGGAUUUUCAUAAGAAAAGAUAAUAAACAUUUACUAAUGUAAUAAAAUAGACACCUUUUAAGUCACAAGCAGUAUCCAAACCUUUGGGACAUUCUAUGGUGCUGAACAGCUAUUUCAUAGAGGCUUUAUGUUAAGGAGCAAGUGCAGAAAAAAAUCUGAAAAUCUCAGUAAGAUGAGAAAACGAAAGCUUUACAAAAUGGUAGAAGAAAGUAGUCUCUCAUGCCUAAACUUCCAAAUAAGUUUUUGUUUGUUUGUUUUGGGUUUUUAGUUGAGCAUUCUUUCUGGUUUGAAAUAGAUUCAGAAGGCUUUUUAAAACAAGUCACUUUUGGCCAAAUAUAUUAAGGUAUAACCAAAUGAUACCAUAGAUCCAUUUAGAAAACAGAAAGUUCUUUACUGACAUGAAAGGAUUUCUAAGACAUAUUCAUAAGUAAAAAAGCAAAUAUACUACUAUUUGUAUGGGAUGAAAAAAUAAAAGAAACAUGUAUAUACAUACUUGUUUGUAUAUGCAUAGACUAUCUCUCUGGGUGGAUG
RNAcentral lists this long non-coding RNA (1219 nucleotides) under Homo sapiens (human). RNAcentral describes it as "HSALNT0326895". The record is from RNAcentral. Lineage: Eukaryota; Metazoa; Chordata; Mammalia; Primates; Hominidae.